UCAAAAAUGUAGUAGCACGCUGCGCUUAGUGCUUGUAAGACCCUUAAAUGAGUACAAAAUAUGGCUUUUGCCUACACAAUAAGUUCUAUUAUACAAUUACGUAAGUUUGCAAAACUGGCGUUUCUAGCACAUUUUAUUGCUACAAAAAAUCGUGUCUGCAUAUACAUAUAGCAUAUUAUUUACUGCAUUCUACGUAAGUUGAAACACUUGAAUUUCAAUGAAAUCCUCGAAUCUUCGACUGCGACUAUUGCGUGUUUGAGUUAGAUAAACCCACACGCACAUACACAAGACGUAGCGAGCCAUAUUGAACGUAGAAAACCACUACUAAGGUAUCUAGGUAUGUCUGCCGUUGGAGGCUCACUAAUUGGUAGCAGUGUACUUUUUUAAUUAAGUUAUACUGUUUUUUAUCUACAUGUAUACAUUUAAUGUAUAUUUUUUUAAAUAUUUAAACAACAAAUUUACUCACUCUUUUUUAAUAUUUUCAAAAAAAAAUUUUUAUUGUUCACAUAUAUGUAUGUAUGUAGGUAUUAUUUCUAUGCUUUAAUGCCUGUAAGCACAUACAUACAAAUGUUUAUAUGUAUGUAUACAUAAGUAUGUCUAUUAAAGAAUCAAUACGUUUUUCUCUUCAACACUCUUAAAAAUUCACGCAUAAUUUACAUACGUUCAAGCGCUUGCAGGCGCAAACACCUAUUUGCAUUUUCCACUUAACAACAACAAAAAAGUCAUGUAAAAAAUAUUUAAUUAUGCAAAUCGUUGUGGCCGCGAUGCAUGCAAAUAAAGCCACAAACUCGUGAAUUACGUCGCUCUGGCAUUCGAUCAAUGCGAGCAAUAAAAAAAUAUUAAAAAACCAGAAAAAAAAGUAUUAAAAAAAUAAUAUUAAAUAUCAAAUAAAAUUUUAAUUAAAUAUACGAAAGUAACAAGUCAUCAUCAUCAAGAUGAGAUUUGCAAAAAAAA
Bactrocera oleae (olive fruit fly) is the source of this 954-nucleotide non-coding RNA. NCBI's taxonomy places the organism in Eukaryota, Metazoa, Arthropoda, Insecta, Diptera, Tephritidae. The record is from RefSeq and is a predicted model, not a curated record.